CGGACGGGUGAGUAACGCGUGGGGAACCUGCCCUGUACAGGGGGAUAACACUUAGAAAUAGGUGCUAAUACCGCAUAAGCGCACAGUAUCGCAUGAUACAGUGUGAAAAACUCCGGUGGUACAGGAUGGACCCGCGUCUGAUUAGCUGGUUGGCGGGGUAACGGCCCACCAAGGCGACGAUCAGUAGCCGGCCUGAGAGGGCGACCGGCCACAUUGGGACUGAGACACGGCCCAGACUCCUACGGGAGGCAGCAG
This 255-nucleotide ribosomal RNA is filed under the name uncultured bacterium. RNAcentral describes it as "partial 16S ribosomal RNA". It matches the Rfam family "Bacterial small subunit ribosomal RNA", at positions 99 to 354 of the family's 1533-position model. The record is from RNAcentral.